CCUACGGGUGGCAGCAGUGAGGAAUAUUGGUCAAUGGGCUUACGCCUGAACCAGCCAAGUCGCGUGAGGGAAGACUGCCCUAUGGGUUGUAAACCUCUUUUGUCAGGGAGCAACGCCGGCUACGUGUAGCCGGACUGAGAGUACCUGAAGAAAAAGCAUCGGCUAACUCCGUGCCAGCAGCCGCGGUAAUACGGAGGAUGCGAGCGUUAUCCGGAUUUAUUGGGUUUAAAGGGUGCGUAGGCGGAAUGCCAAGUCAGCGGUAAAAUGUCGGGGCUCAACCCCGGCCGGCCGUUGAAACUGGUUUUCUAGAGUUGGAGAGAAGUAUGCGGAAUUCGUGGUGUAGCGGUGAAAUGCAUAGAUAUCACGAAGAACUCCGAUUGCGAAGGCAGCAUACCGGCUCCAUACUGAUGCUGAGGCACGAAAGCGUGGGGAUCGAACAGGAUUAGAUACCCUUGUAGUC
This 460-nucleotide ribosomal RNA is filed under the name uncultured bacterium. RNAcentral describes it as "partial 16S ribosomal RNA". It matches the Rfam family "Bacterial small subunit ribosomal RNA", at positions 338 to 795 of the family's 1533-position model. The record is from RNAcentral.